Molecule: ribosomal RNA, 430 nt
Filed under: uncultured bacterium
Lineage: Bacteria
Description: partial 16S ribosomal RNA
Rfam family: Bacterial small subunit ribosomal RNA
Source: RNAcentral
ACGCACGCUGGCGGCAGGCCUCACCCCUGCAAGUCGCGCGCCCCGCAAGGGGAGCGGCGGACGGGUGAGUAACGCGUGGGAAUAUGCCCUUUGCUACGGAAUAGUCUCGGGAAACUGGGGGUAAUACCGUAUACGCCCUUUGGGGGAAAGAUUUAUCGGCGAAGGAUUAGCCCGCGUUGGAUUAGGUAGUUGGUGGGGUAAUGGCCUACCAAGCCGACGAUCCAUAGCUGGUUUGAGAGGAUGAUCAGCCACACUGGGACUGAGACACGGCCCAGACUCCUACGGGAGGCAGCAGUGGGGAAUCUUAGACAAUGGGGGCAACCCUGAUCUAGCCAUGCCGCGUGAGUGAUGAAGGCCUUAGGGUUGUAAAGCUCUUUCAGCUGGGAAGAUAAUGACGGUACCAGCAGAAGAAGCCCCGGCUAACUCCGUG